RNAcentral lists this ribosomal RNA (254 nucleotides) under uncultured bacterium. RNAcentral's name for it is "partial 16S ribosomal RNA". It matches the Rfam family "Bacterial small subunit ribosomal RNA", at positions 524 to 776 of the family's 1533-position model. The record is from RNAcentral.
UACGUAGGGUGCGAGCGUUGUCCGGAAUUAUUGGGCGUAAAGAGCUCGUAGGCGGUCUGUCGCGUCGGUCGUGAAAACUUGGGGCUUAACCCUGAGCUUGCGGUCGAUACGGGCAUGACUGGAGUUCGGCAGGGGAGACUGGAAUUCCUGGCGUAGCGGUGAAAUGCGCAGAUAUCAGGAGGAACACCGGUGGCGAAGGCGGGUCUCUGGGCCGAUACUGACGCUGAGGAGCGAAAGCGUGGGGAGCGAUCCGG